AUGAAGUCAUUCGUUUAUUACGGAUGUCAAGUUUUCUUAGUCCAUGUUAUGGAUUUGAAUAAAGACACGUCAGAUUUGAAUAAUAUUCCUGUUGUUAUUGAUUUUUCCUGACGUAUUUCCUGAAGAAUUUCUUGGCCUACUCCCAGAGCGUGAUAUUGAAUUUGUAUCGACUUUAAAUCCGGUACAAAACCCAUUUCUAAAAUCUCAUAUCGAAUGGCUCCUAUUGAACUUCAGGAGUUAAAAACCCAACUGUAGAAGUUGAUACCCGAG
Molecule: long non-coding RNA, 270 nt
Filed under: Panax ginseng (ginseng)
Lineage: Eukaryota; Viridiplantae; Streptophyta; Magnoliopsida; Apiales; Araliaceae
Description: long non-coding RNA (PGIN_LNC003452)
Source: RNAcentral